UCCAGCAGAACACUCACUGGAUGGGGGGAGGCGGAUUUUCCAAGCUUGCUUUCUUCUCUGCUUUUUUGAAGGAAACCCGCCAGGGCCCCAAGGUCUCUCUACCUCCACUGGGAGGGAAAUGGAGCCCCCGGGGAAGCAGGGGAAGUGCGCCGUUUAAGGGGUGGCGUGUUCUCGGCCCAUUGUUCUGCAAGAACUGCGUGCCUUUCUGAUGGAACUCAGAGCCAGGAAUCCCGAGUCAUCAGGAAGACGGAAACUCACGGCGCGCAGCUGCGUCGAGAUUACGCACUGUGCAUUGCAAGAGCUGCAAUGGAACGGCCAAGAAUGCAAAGGCAGACAUCAGAAGUGGGCCAUCGUAAAACAACGAAGCUACCUUGAAUCAUUCAAAUGGCCCCUUCAGCAAAAGACAACACAGCAUUUCUUACCAAUGGUACACAACACAAGACAGGCUCCUACACGCUGUGGCAGAGGAAACAACGGCUGAUGU
Molecule: long non-coding RNA, 484 nt
Organism: Brienomyrus brachyistius
Lineage: Eukaryota; Metazoa; Chordata; Actinopteri; Osteoglossiformes; Mormyridae
Exons: 3
Source: RefSeq, a predicted model, not a curated record